ACCACAUGUGCAAAAGCCAACAAAAAAAGAUCAAGUACAGCAUCUAUUUUUUUUUAUCAAUUUAAUAUUUGAUAUGUGAACUAUUUGGUUAUUAAAUUUAUUUUUUUAGGGAGAGGGCCCUUGACAGUAGCUUGCUACUUGGAUUCUCAUGUGUUGCCCAUGCCUUACACUAAAGUAGUGGCCUGGCACAUCCCAC
This is a non-coding RNA of Glycine max (soybean), 196 nucleotides long. The record is from Rfam. Lineage: Eukaryota; Viridiplantae; Streptophyta; Magnoliopsida; Fabales; Fabaceae.